This 440-nucleotide ribosomal RNA is filed under the name uncultured bacterium. RNAcentral's name for it is "partial 16S ribosomal RNA". It matches the Rfam family "Bacterial small subunit ribosomal RNA", at positions 338 to 795 of the family's 1533-position model. The record is from RNAcentral.
CCUACGGAGUGCUGCAGUGGGGAAUAUUGCACAAUGGGGGAAACCCUGAUGCAGCGACGCCGCGUGAGUGAAGACGUACUUCGUUAUGUAAAGCUCUAUCAGCAGGGAAGAAAAUGACGGUACCUGAGUAAGCAGCCCCGGCUAACUACGUGCCAGCCGCCGCGGUACUACGUAGGGGGCAAGCGUUAUCCGGAUUUACUGGGUGUAAAGGGAGCGUAGACGGCAGUGCAAGUCUGGAGUGAAAGGCGGGGGCUCAACCCCCGGACUGCUCUGGAAACUGUACGGCUGGAGUGCAGGAGAGGUAAGUGGAAUUCCUAGGGUAGCGGUGAAAUGCGUAGAUAUUAGGAGGAACACCAGUGGCGAAGGCGGCUUACUGGACUGUAACUGACGUUGAGGCUCGAAAGCGUGGGGAGCAAACAGGAUUAGAUACCCAAGUAGUC